This 484-nucleotide ribosomal RNA is filed under the name uncultured bacterium. RNAcentral describes it as "partial 16S ribosomal RNA". It matches the Rfam family "Bacterial small subunit ribosomal RNA", at positions 29 to 507 of the family's 1533-position model. The record is from RNAcentral.
AUUGAACGCUGGCGGCAUGCUUUACACAUGCAAGUCGAACGGCAGCGCGGGCUUCGGCCUGGCGGCGAGUGGCGAACGGGUGAGUAAUACAACGGAACGUGCCCAGCAGUUGGGGAUAGCUCGGCGAAAGCCGGAUUAAUACCGCAUACGACCUGAGGGUGAAAGCGGGGGAUCUUCGGACCUCGCGCUAUUUGAUCGGCCGUUGGCAGAUUAGCUAGUUGGUGGGGUAAAGGCCUACCAAGGCGACGAUCCGUAGCUGGUCUGAGAGGGCGACCGGCCACACUGGGACUGAGACACGGCCCAGACUCCUACGGGAGGCAGCAGUAGGGAAUUUUGGACAAUGGGCGAAAGCCUGAUCGAGCAAUGCCGCGUGUGUGAUGAAGGCCUUCGGGUUGUAAAGCACUGUUGGCGGGAAAGAAAAGAACUGUGCCAAUACCACGGUUCGAUGACGGUACCCGCAGAAUAAGCACCGGCUAACUACGUG